This is a long non-coding RNA of Polyodon spathula (Mississippi paddlefish), 1143 nucleotides long. RefSeq lists it as uncharacterized. The record is from RefSeq and is a predicted model, not a curated record. Lineage: Eukaryota; Metazoa; Chordata; Actinopteri; Acipenseriformes; Polyodontidae. The transcript has 4 exons.
CAGUGUGGACACACCUAUUGAAAUACAGUGGUCACACACGUUGGAUGUGUCAGUCCAAUUUUGGACUGUGUGUUUAAUUUAACAAACAGAUGUUAUCAUGCUUAAUAAAUUAUUUGCUUCACUUUCAUAAACGUAAGACAUGUUAAUUUUUGUUCUGUUACAGCGACAUAUGAUAAGGCGCGCAAGAAACUGAGAAAGGCAACAGAAACAUACGAUCUGAACAACACAGAUGAUGAACAAACACGUAGGCGAAAACCCUCUGUCAUUUCUAUAAGAUGAAGAAGAUUUUUCUGUAAGCAAGAAUGUGGGAUCAUCACAAAGGAUGCCACUCUUGCCAACUCCACCUUUGUUUCCAACAACAGUAGCAUCACCCAGCAGCAGCAACAGCAGCAACAGUGAGGAUGGAAAUAUCAGCAGUGAUGACAGAAACUACAACAACAACACCAGCAGCAAUAACACUGGGAACAGAGACAGUGACAGGAGCAGCUAUGUGCCUCUAUCAGGUACAUAUUUAAUUGUACGUUUAAUUAUUGCAAUGAAUCAUGAAAAGGUUACAGUAUUCUUACAACUGCAGUAUCUGUCUGUAAAAAGUUAUUUUCCUAUGUGCACAUGUGUGCAUUACAUAUAAUGGUUCUCUUUAAUGACCAAUGGGGGCAGUUAAAGACAGAAGAUUAUAUGUGCAGUUUUUGUUCUAUUAAAUAGACAGGGAUAGGGUGAUCUUCACCAUUUUAGAAGAAAUCAAGAGCCAGGGGAAGCAAAACACCCUGAUGCUUCAGGCACUUCUCAAACGGCAGCCUGCGCCUGAAUGAAUUCCGAUUUUCACUUGCCACCAAGGAGGACAUUGAGAGAGUGGAGAGGACGUUAAUGGACCAACGCUACAGAAAAGGCACUGAUCACACACAUUUGUAAUCUUGGUGGCAACACAGCCGAUGUCACCAUCAGGCGCAUGAUGAGUCAUGACCAACAAUCUGGCUAGAGGAUUCAACUGGCUGGGGCGGGGAAACAAGAGCCCCUUUUCUGUCCUUGCUUUGGCGAGAGUAAUCAAAGAUGCAGAGCCUGCAAGUGCUGCUAAUGCUGCCAGUGACAGUGAGAAGAUUGAGAGAUUGUUUGAGCCAUUUUUUUUCAUUCUAGACAGAUAUUUGA